CCACCGGGGCCAUCUGCGGUGUCUCUGGGUCUUCGGAUCCAGGUUCAGCCUCGUCUCCACCCCCGGAGAACUCUGACUCAAACGAUUCCAAGCUGCUGAGAAGUGUUUACUGUGAAGCACCUGGGGACGUGGAACACCUAAAGACACAAGUGAAAGUGCUCUGGGCGUUGCACUCAUCGGACAGUGUGAAGCGGAAGGAUUGGCUUGUUUGACGUCCCUCGUCCUCAGGAAGC
Monopterus albus (swamp eel) is the source of this 233-nucleotide long non-coding RNA. RefSeq lists it as uncharacterized. The transcript is spliced from 3 exons. The record is from RefSeq and is a predicted model, not a curated record. Lineage: Eukaryota; Metazoa; Chordata; Actinopteri; Synbranchiformes; Synbranchidae.